AGAGUUUGAUCCUGGCUCAGAACGAACGCUGGCGGCAUGCCUAACACAUGCAAGUCGAACGUGAUCCAGGCUUCGGUCUGGUGAAAGUGGCAAACGGGUGAGUAACGCGUGGGAACCUGCCCAGAGGUAGGGAAUAACCGCGGGAAACUGCGGCUAAUACCCUAUGUGCCCUAUGGGGCAAAGAUUUAUCGCCUUUGGAGGGGCCCGCGUCGGAUUAGGUAGUUGGUGGGGUAACGGCCUACCAAGCCAUCGAUCCGUAGCUGGUCUGAGAGGAUGAUCAGCCACACUGGGACUGAGAUACGGCCCAGACUCCUACGGGAGGCAGCAGUGGGGAAUAUUGGACAAUGGGGGCAACCCUGAUCCAGCAAUGCCGCGUGAGUGAUGAAGGCCUUCGGGUUGUAAAGCUCUUUCGGCGGGGAAGAUGAUGACGGUACCCGCAGAAGAAGCCCCGGCUAACUUCGUGCCAGCAGCCGCGGUAAUACGAAGGGGGCUAGCGUUGUUCGGAAUUACUGGGCGUAAAGGGCGCGUAGGCUGUGCUGUAAGUCAGGCGUGAAAUCCCCGGGCUCAACCUGGGAAUUGCACUUGAUACUGCAGCGCUGGAAUGCGGGAGAGGAUGGCGGAAUUCCCAGUGUAGAGGUGAAAUUCGUAGAUAUUGGGAAGAACACCGGUGGCGAAGGCGGCCAUCUGGCCCGUAAUUGACGCUCAGGCGCGAAAGCGUGGGGAGCAAACAGGAUUAGAUACCCUGGUAGUCCACGCCGUAAACGAUGAGUGCUAGACGU
RNAcentral lists this ribosomal RNA (779 nucleotides) under uncultured bacterium. RNAcentral's name for it is "bacterial SSU rRNA". It matches the Rfam family "Bacterial small subunit ribosomal RNA", at positions 8 to 823 of the family's 1533-position model. The record is from RNAcentral.